CAGAGUAGAGGGAUGUGCGUACAGUGUCCGCGGGACGGGGAGUUGCCUGCGGAACGAAGGGUCAACCCGCGGUGCAUCCCCCGCAUCCCGCUGU
Molecule: non-coding RNA, 94 nt
Filed under: bovine gut metagenome
Description: THF riboswitch
Rfam family: THF (Tetrahydrofolate) riboswitch aptamer
About the family: THF riboswitch presents a pseudoknot that joins P1-P2 and the loop of P3 and two THF binding.
Source: RNAcentral